CAGCCGCCGCGGGAAAACAGAGGUUGCGAGCGUUAAUCGGAUUUACUGGGCGUAAAGCGUGCGUAAGCGGCUUUUUAAGUCGGAUGUGAAAUCCCUGAGCUUAACUUAGGAAUUGCAUUCGAUACUGGGAAGCUAGAGUAUGGGAGAGGAUGGUAGAAUUCCAGGUGUAGCGGUGAAAUGCGUAGAGAUCUGGAGGAAUACCGAUGGCGAAGGCAGCCAUCUGGCCUAAUACUGACGCUGAGGUACGAAAGCAUGGGGAGCAAACAGGAUUAGAUACCCCGGUAGUCCCUGUCUCUUAUAA
RNAcentral lists this ribosomal RNA (301 nucleotides) under uncultured bacterium. RNAcentral describes it as "partial 16S ribosomal RNA". It matches the Rfam family "Bacterial small subunit ribosomal RNA", at positions 509 to 809 of the family's 1533-position model. The record is from RNAcentral.